CUCUCCGACGGUCACCUCCACAUAGUCCACGACGCCAGACUCCUCGUUCUCGUCGCUGCCCUGGCCGUCUCGGCUGCUGCCCUCUGACCUGUCCGAGGCGGCCUCUGAGGGCCUGGCUGCAAUAACCUUGUUUUUUCAAAAAGCAACAAGACUAAAGAUUAA
Molecule: long non-coding RNA, 162 nt
Organism: Fukomys damarensis (Damara mole-rat)
Lineage: Eukaryota; Metazoa; Chordata; Mammalia; Rodentia; Bathyergidae
Exons: 2
Source: RefSeq, a predicted model, not a curated record